GGUGGCUCAGUGGUAGAGUACUUGCCUCACAUGCAUGAGGCCCUGGGUUUGAUUCCCCAGCACCA
This 65-nucleotide transfer RNA is filed under the name Dipodomys ordii (Ord's kangaroo rat). It matches the Rfam family "tRNA". From Rfam's summary of the family: Transfer RNA (tRNA) molecules are approximately 80 nucleotides in length. Their secondary structure includes four short double-helical elements and three loops (D, anti-codon, and T loops). Lineage: Eukaryota; Metazoa; Chordata; Mammalia; Rodentia; Heteromyidae. The record is from Rfam by way of RNAcentral.